Molecule: long non-coding RNA, 1681 nt
Organism: Cotesia glomerata
Lineage: Eukaryota; Metazoa; Arthropoda; Insecta; Hymenoptera; Braconidae
Exons: 3
Source: RefSeq, a predicted model, not a curated record
GUAACCUUGCAGCUCAUUGUAGAACUUUCGGUUUAAAUUUUAUUUAUAUUUAUUUUAUUUUUUUGAGGUUAAAUCUACAUUUGAACUUAUUUGGUGUCAAGAUUUUCUUUUUUAAUGAUUGAUUUAAGAAAAAAUUUGCUAGAGCCUUCUUAGAAGAAUAUCUUUAAUUAAGAUGAGUUAUCAGCUUGGAGGACUUUGAAGCAUGCUUGUGCUGAUUUUUUUUUUUGAUGAAGGAAUUAAGUAGUAGAUUUAUGUAAGGCAGGAUUACAAAAGAUUUUAUUGAUUGGAAAUCGUCGCAAUUAAAGGAGCACUAAUAGGAGAUCUCGGAAACCAUCGCAACAGUCCUAGAUCCACCAAAAAACGUCGAGAUUCAGGUGGUCGAGCUGGAAAAAUUGGUCAAAAAUAUGUGCAAAAAUAAAAACUGUUAAAUCAUCAACUUCCUAAUCUCAACAUUCGAGUGGCCAGUUAUUGCAAAAUGCUGAUGGUCCAAUUUUUAUAUUCAAAACCUAAGAAGGCGAGAGUAGAGUUGUAUCUUCAAGUCAACAUAAUGGAGCCAACUAUGAAUAAAUAUUGGCUUCAUUAAGUAAACCGAAUGAUCUACGUUAAAUUAUUUAUUUUUUUUUGCUCGAUUUCUAAUGACAUUAAGCUGGAUUGCUAAUGACAUUACGCCAAGAUAUGACAAGUAGUACGAAAUUAAUGGAUCAAAACAUGCAACUUUAUGAAAAUGUAUUAGAAGAAUAAUUUACUCGUCAGGACUUGGGUGUUUUUCAGUGUCUCACUUGCACUGCAGCGACAUUCAUUAUCUUAAAUGUUGUAGCGUGAGAAAAAAAUCUCAUAGCCCAUGUCCUGAAAGGUUUAUCAACAAGAUUUUCUAGAUGCAUCUAGACAUGUUGGAAUCUUAGGAGCUCAAGGAGUUGGAAAAUCGACUUUUCUAUCACUUUUUUCUUUAAAUUAUGGGUAAUUUAUCAAUAAUGGAAUGAUAAAUAUUAAAGAAUUAAUUUUAAUUUAAAUAACAGAUCACAUUAAUGCAAAUGAAUUUCAGAUCAGAACUAUUAACUAUAAAAAUGUCAUCUCAUCUUACAAAUGGAUAAAAUUUUAGCAGUUAAUUAGAUUUUAAUGUAACAAAAAAUCCUGUUCUUAUUUAGAUACGCCGCCAAUUCUUUCAAGUUCUACAAUGACAUCAACUUCUUUAUUUUUUUUGACUUCUUAAUUUUUUUUUUUUAAUUGAUGUAUGCAUAUACCUAUAGAAAUUAACGUUAUUUUUUAGAAAUUUACUGUACAAGACACUUUUAAUGAUCAUGUAUCAAGCUUUAUUUUGAAAACUAUUCAUAAAAAUAUUCUUUUCUAAUUUAGAUAACAUGAAAGCCGCAUUUAACUUAAACAAUGUUUAAAAAAUCUGCAAAAGUAAUUCAUUGAAGAAAGAAGAAAAGAAAUCUAUCAAAGUUGAGUAAUCAGCGAGCGUUUUACAAAAAAUUGCUUACUAAAUAGUAUAUUUGGUACUAUUAAAUAAAUACACUUCUCACAAAAAUUAAGGGAGCAAGAAAAAAAUCCAAAUUUUUAGGGGAUUUUCAACAGGCUGUAACUUCUAGAAAAAUGAUCGUACAGCAAAUAAAAAAAAAGCAAAUUGUAGUUCUGAGUGUGUAGUUUUCGGAUCUGAGUUUGUAAAUUUUUUUUCGAGUAA